Molecule: ribosomal RNA, 399 nt
Filed under: uncultured Strobilidiidae
Lineage: Eukaryota; Ciliophora; Spirotrichea; Choreotrichida; Strobilidiidae
Description: partial small subunit ribosomal RNA
Rfam family: Eukaryotic small subunit ribosomal RNA
Source: RNAcentral
GCUUGUCUCAAAGAUUAAGCCAUGCAUGUCUAAGUAUAAAUAUCUAUACUGUGAAACUGCGUAUGGCUCAUUAAAUCAGUUAUAGUUUAUUUGAUGAUACCCCACUACAUGGAUAACCGUAGUAAUUCUAGAGCUAAUACAUGCGUCAAAUCCCGACUUUUUGGAAGGGAUGUAUUUAUUAGAUAACAGACCAAUGCCCCCCCGGGCUUUGUGGUGACUCAUAGUAACUAAUCGGAUCGCAUGGGCCUGUCCCGCGACAAACCAUUCAAGUUUCUGCCCCAUCAGCUUUCGAUGGUAGUGUAUUGGACUACCAUGGCUUUUACGGGUAACGGAGGAUUAGGGUUCGAUUCCGGAGAGGGAGCCUGAGAAACGGCUACCACAUCUAAGGAAGGCAGCAGG